Dermochelys coriacea (leatherback sea turtle) is the source of this 672-nucleotide long non-coding RNA. RefSeq lists it as uncharacterized. Lineage: Eukaryota; Metazoa; Chordata; Testudines; Dermochelyidae. The transcript is spliced from 2 exons. The record is from RefSeq and is a predicted model, not a curated record.
UAAAAUGCCUAAUGUCCUAGGUGGAGUAAUUAUCAUUAUUACUUUUAUUACCAUAUUGUGCUUUGUCAUUCAUUACUUAAAGUGGUACAAUCAAAUAAUUGUAUCCUUCUAGAAUGUAAAUUUAGCUUGUACUCACCUUAGCAGUGCCAGUUUAAAAACAAAACAAAACUAAACACAUAACUUUAGACACUAUGAAGAUGGUCGUUUAUUUUUAAUUUGUAUUUUUAGUUAUAUCUGUAAAAUAACUUAAAAUUUGUACAAAAAUAAAUGCAGUUCCAAGUCUGAUACUAACAGUAAUGAUGGAGUCAAAUGUUAGUGAAUCACGUACAUGACUAUGACCGGUAAACAUAAAUGCCGAAAUAAUUAGAAAAAUAAAUUCCCUUUCUUAAUAAAAGAGAAAAUAACUUGAUCACAUAUGUUAAAAUUAAGUAAAUACAUUUUUUAGUGGAGUGAAAAACAAUUGACUAAAACAGAGUAGAUAAUGGCAGUAACAGAGUAUCAGAUUUUAUUUAUCUUUAUGUGUACUAAACAUAGUGUACAAUGUAUCAAACUUGUGUUUGUGAUGUCUGUGUUAAGGUUCCAAAACUGAUACCUCAAGGUUUGGGAUUAGGAAUAUAUUGCUGUAUUAUCUCCUGAUCUAAAUUUACAUAUAAACUUAAAUUAUGGCUUUAA